This 458-nucleotide ribosomal RNA is filed under the name uncultured bacterium. Its description in RNAcentral is "bacterial SSU rRNA". It matches the Rfam family "Bacterial small subunit ribosomal RNA", at positions 28 to 496 of the family's 1533-position model. The record is from RNAcentral.
GACGAACGCUGGCGGCGUGCCUAACACAUGCAAGUCGAACGGGGUCCAUGGGAGCUUGCUCCCGGAAGACCUAGUGGCGAACGGGUGAGUAACACGUGAGAGACCUGCCCUGGAGUGGGGAAUAACUCGGGGAAACUCGAGCUAAUACCGCAUACCCUCGGAUGGUCGCAUGGCCGACCGAGGAAAGAUUCAUCGCUUCAGGAGGGUCUCGCGGCCUAUCAGCUAGUUGGUGGGGUAACGGCCUACCAAGGCAACGACGGGUAGCUGGUUUGAGAGAACGAUCAGCCACACUGGGACUGAGACACGGCCCAGACUCCUACGGGAGGCAGCAGUGGGGAAUCUUGCGCAAUGGGCGAAAGCCUGACGCAGCAACGCCGCGUGCGGGAUGACGGCCUCUGGUUGUAACCGACUUCUAGCAGGGACGGAAAAUAGACGGUACCGUGCAGAAGAAGACCCGG